RNAcentral lists this long non-coding RNA (530 nucleotides) under Ananas comosus (pineapple). Its description in RNAcentral is "long non-coding RNA (ACOM_LNC015724)". Lineage: Eukaryota; Viridiplantae; Streptophyta; Magnoliopsida; Poales; Bromeliaceae. The record is from RNAcentral.
GUAGCAACAUAAUCUGAUAUUAUUGCGACUUAGGCUUAUUGCGGAAAGAUUGCGUUAUGUGCGAUGAAAAAGUACGUUAAAAAAUAUUUUGUUUGUUUUCAUAUGUAAUAUUGCGUUCCGCAUGUCGAAUCGAUUACAAUAUAUUUUCUACGAUUCCACUGGAGAAUGCAGAAGUAUAUUCUUAUAUAAUUUUUCUUCAACUUCAUUUUUUUUAAUAGUGUUAGAUAAAACUCAAUAUCAAACUAAACCUUAUAAAUUGUUUGGAAAUAGAAAAUUGAAAAGCGAGAAAAUUCUAAGUUUCGCCAACCCCCACCAAAGUUGAAAGAUUAAUCUCUAUAGGAGUGGGAGUUCGAAUGAUCUUAUAACUUCAAUAUUGUAACAAGAGUCAAUAUCAACAUUUUUUUUUUUCAAAAUUCUGAAUUCAACCAUCAAGAUUCAAAAGACAAAUAAGUUGUUAUUUGUUAUAUUUUUUUAUGUUGUAGUCUCUUAUUUCUGAACGGUCAAGUUUUAAUAUGAAUAAUAUAUAAACA